GCAGCAGCCGCGGUAAUACGGAGGGGGCUAGCGUUGUUCGGAAUUACUGGGCGUAAAGCGCACGUAGGCGGCUUGGUAAGUUAGAGGUGAAAGCCUGGAGCUCAACUCCAGAAUUGCCUUUAAGACUGCCGAGCUAGCAGGUGAGAGAGGUAAGUGGAAUUCCGAGUGUAGAGGUGAAAUUCGUAGAUAUUCGGAAGAACACCAGUGGCGAAGGCGGCUUACUGGCUCAUACUGGACGCUGAGGUGCGAAAGCGUGGGGAGCAAACAGGAUUAGAUACCCCGGUAGUCCCUGUCUCUUAUAC
Molecule: ribosomal RNA, 302 nt
Filed under: uncultured bacterium
Lineage: Bacteria
Description: partial 16S ribosomal RNA
Rfam family: Bacterial small subunit ribosomal RNA
Source: RNAcentral